This 246-nucleotide ribosomal RNA is filed under the name uncultured Gardnerella sp. RNAcentral describes it as "partial 16S ribosomal RNA". It matches the Rfam family "Bacterial small subunit ribosomal RNA", at positions 109 to 355 of the family's 1533-position model. The record is from RNAcentral. Lineage: Bacteria; Bacillati; Actinomycetota; Actinomycetes; Bifidobacteriales; Bifidobacteriaceae.
AGUAAUGCGUGACCAACCUGCCCCAUGCUCCAGAAUAGCUCUUGGAAACGGGUGGUAAUGCUGGAUGCUCCAACUUGACGCAUGUCUUGUUGGGAAAGUGUUUAGUGGCAUGGGAUGGGGUCGCGUCCUAUCAGCUUGUAGGCGGGGUAAUGGCCCACCUAGGCUUCGACGGGUAGCCGGCCUGAGAGGGCGGACGGCCACAUUGGGACUGAGAUACGGCCCAAACUCCUACGGGAGGCAGCAGCC